UACGUAGGUGGCGAGCGUUGUCCGGAAUUACUGGGUGUAAAGGGCGCGUAGGCGGGGGUGCAAGUCAGAUGUGAAAUACCGUGGCUUAACUGCGGGGCUGCAUCUGAAACUGUGCUUCUUGAGUGCUGGAGAGGAAAGCGGAAUUCCUAGUGUAGCGGUGAAAUGCGUAGAUAUUAGGAGGAACACCAGUGGCGAAGGCGGCUUUCUGGACAGUAACUGACGCUGAGGCGCGAAAGCGUGGGGAGCAAACAGG
RNAcentral lists this ribosomal RNA (253 nucleotides) under uncultured bacterium. Its description in RNAcentral is "partial 16S ribosomal RNA". It matches the Rfam family "Bacterial small subunit ribosomal RNA", at positions 524 to 776 of the family's 1533-position model. The record is from RNAcentral.